GAUGAACGCUGGCGGCGUGCCUAAUACAUGCAAGUCGAGCGAACAGAUAAGGAGCUUGCUCCUUUGACGUUAGCGGCGGACGGGUGAGUAACACGUGGGUAACCUACCUAUAAGACUGGAAUAACUCCGGGAAACCGGGGCUAAUGCCGGAUAACAUUUAGAACCGGAUGGUUCUAAAGUGAAAGAUGGUUUUGCUAUCACUUAUAGAUGGACCCGCGCCGUAUUAGCUAGUUGGUAAGGUAACGGCUUACCAAGGCAACGAUACGUAGCCGACCUGAGAGGGUGAUCGGCCACACUGGAACUGAGACACGGUCCAGACUCCUACGGGAGGCAGCAGUAGGGAAUCUUCCGCAAUGGGCGAAAGCCUGACGGAGCAACGCCGCGUGAGUGAUGAAGGUCUUCGGAUCGUAAAACUCUGUUAUUAGGGAAGAACAAAUGUGUAAGUAACUGUGCACGUCUUGACGGUACCUAAUCAGAAAGCCACGGCUAACUACGUG
RNAcentral lists this ribosomal RNA (497 nucleotides) under uncultured bacterium. Its description in RNAcentral is "partial 16S ribosomal RNA". It matches the Rfam family "Bacterial small subunit ribosomal RNA", at positions 28 to 507 of the family's 1533-position model. The record is from RNAcentral.